Molecule: transfer RNA, 85 nt
Filed under: Felis catus (domestic cat)
Lineage: Eukaryota; Metazoa; Chordata; Mammalia; Carnivora; Felidae
Rfam family: tRNA
About the family: Transfer RNA (tRNA) molecules are approximately 80 nucleotides in length. Their secondary structure includes four short double-helical elements and three loops (D, anti-codon, and T loops).
Source: Rfam by way of RNAcentral
GCCUGGGUGGCUCAGUCGGUUGAGUGUCCGACUUCGGCUCAGGUCAUGAUCUCGCGGUCUGUGGGUUCGAGCCCCACAUCAGGCC